GAGUUUGAUCUUGGCUCAGAUUGAACGCUGGCGGCAUGCCUUACACAUGCAAGUCGAACGGCAGCAUGAUCUAGCUUGCUAGAUUGAUGGCGAGUGGCGAACGGGUGAGUAAUACAUCGGAACGUGCCCUGUAGUGGGGAUAACUAGUCGAAAGAUUAGCUAAUACCGCAUACGACCUGAGGGUGAAAGUGGGGGACCGCAAGGCCUCAUGCUAUAGGAGCGGCCGAUGUCUGAUUAGCUAGUUGGUGGGGUAAAGGCCCACCAAGGCGACGAUCAGUAGCUGGUCUGAGAGGACGAUCAGCCACACUGGGACUGAGACACGGCCCAGACUCCUACGGGAGGCAGCAGUGGGGAAUUUUGGACAAUGGGCGAAAGCCUGAUCCAGCAAUGUCGCGUGUGUGAAGAAGGCCUCGGUUGUAAGU
Molecule: ribosomal RNA, 422 nt
Filed under: uncultured microorganism
Description: bacterial SSU rRNA
Rfam family: Bacterial small subunit ribosomal RNA
Source: RNAcentral